CUUUUCUCUUGCUUUGCCACUUUUUAGAAAUCCGAAUCACUUCGGCACUUCAGAGCUUCGGCACUUCCGAACUCCUUCACUUCCAAACUUCGUCACUUCCGAACUUCAGGACUUCGUAAGCAUCCAAAAAUCCAAAUGGCUUGGAAUGAAACAAAAAAAAUCCCAUACAUUUCUCCACCAGGAAUACCUAAAGAUCAUACAUUUCUCCCAUACAUUUCUCCACCAGGAAUACCUAAAGAUCAGGUAUUCCUGGAUAGCGUAAUCCAUCAGCUGUAUACAGUUUAAAUAGCACCAUGAUUGUCUGUAGGAUGUUGGAUCGCCAUCCAGUUAAAGGUUUGACCGGCCUCGGAUGCGAAGGAACUAACCUGCAUAGAUAGGCUACCAUGUGGUUGGAAUUCAGGGUGCUUGGUUUGGUU
Molecule: non-coding RNA, 416 nt
Organism: Pelobates cultripes (western spadefoot toad)
Lineage: Eukaryota; Metazoa; Chordata; Amphibia; Anura; Pelobatidae
Source: the annotation of a GenBank genome assembly